Molecule: ribosomal RNA, 153 nt
Filed under: uncultured bacterium
Lineage: Bacteria
Description: partial 16S ribosomal RNA
Rfam family: Bacterial small subunit ribosomal RNA
Source: RNAcentral
UGGGGAAUAUUGCACAAUGGGGGAAACCCUGAUGCAGCCAUGCCGCGUGUGUGAAGAAGGCCUUCGGGUUGUAAGCACUUUCAGCGAGAGGAAAGUUGUUGGCUAAUACCAGCAACUGUGACGUUACUCGCAGAAGAGCACGGUUACUCCGUG